GAUAAGAACGUAGCGAAAUGCGAUAAGUAAUGUGAAUUGCAGAAUUCAGUGAAUCAUCGAAUCUUUGAACGCACAUUGCGCCCAUUAGUAUUCUAGUGGGCAUGCCUGUUCGAGCGUCAUUAAUUCCACUUAAGCCCUGCUUAGUGUUGGGAAUCUACUCUAGUGGUGCUACCCUGGAGCUACCCCUGAAAGGGGGCUGGCCCGGUAGCUACCCUGUAGUUCCUCAAAGAUAGUGCGCGGAGUUGCGUGGUCCUCUGAGCUUAGUAACUAUACACCUAGCUUUUGAGUGUCCCGCGGCGCCUGCCGUUUAAACCCCAUCUUUUAAUGGUUGACCUCGGAUCAGGUAGGAAUACCCGCUGAACUUAAGCAUAUCAAUAAGCGGAGGA
This 386-nucleotide unclassified non-coding RNA is filed under the name soil metagenome. RNAcentral's name for it is "partial contains 5.8S ribosomal RNA, internal transcribed spacer 2, and large subunit ribosomal RNA". The stretch from base 4 to 119 matches the Rfam family "5.8S ribosomal RNA", at positions 39 to 154 of the family's 154-position model. The record is from RNAcentral.